This 794-nucleotide long non-coding RNA is filed under the name Vulpes vulpes (red fox). Its description in RNAcentral is "lncRNA (ENSVVUG00000018603.1)". The record is from RNAcentral. Lineage: Eukaryota; Metazoa; Chordata; Mammalia; Carnivora; Canidae.
AAAACCUCCAGUGGUUAAUGGUGGCCAGCCUGGCAGGGCCCUGACUCAGCAGCAGGGUCCAUCGGACCGGUGGGAUGCAGACGUGGAAUAUCCAGGUCAGAACCAGCACGACAGAGGGACACCCAAGGCGAGCCAGGGAAGUGAGAUGAUAAGCUUUCAGGGAAGGUCACUGUUGAUUUUACUCUUGAUGCCUUCUAUGCAAUGGCUGGCUUGAAAAACAGUAGCUGUGUUUAUCCGAAUUCAAUUUUAACACGCAGUACUUUGAAGAUGAGGUUAUUUCGAUAUUCCUGAAAUCGUGGGAUGAUUCAAAGAAAGAAGCCUAUAAACGGUGGUUGCUUGAGUGAGUGAACACUGCCAUACAUGGUGAGGGUCAGAGGAAAAGCAAGGAGAAAACUGUGAGAUUUGAUCAACAAAUGUGGAAUUGCGGAAAAGAAAACAUACUUUCAGAAAAGACAAAAACAAACCCCACCAUCAAGUGACUUUUUGGUCCAUCCUCCUUGUGGUGAUUUUGGGGACCAGUCCAGCUGCCUGUUUAAAAUAGUUCUGCAGGGGGUGCACCGGUUGAUGGGGACAAGGCCUCGAGUGGGCAGGAGAGUGAAGAUCUUGCUGCACCAGGUUAACCAUCAUAAUUUUUCUCAAGAUCUUCGCUAAGAAGGCUCAUCUCUACUCUUCAUUUUGAAUUAUAGAGGAAGAAACUCUCUACCUUGGUGAAAUUCUUGUGAUUUUCACUCAUUCCUACCCAGUUAACGUUGUUGACUGCAUUCAAUAUAUUCUCGAAAUAUGUACAAUAAAUU